Molecule: unclassified non-coding RNA, 325 nt
Filed under: soil metagenome
Description: partial contains 5.8S ribosomal RNA, internal transcribed spacer 2, and large subunit ribosomal RNA
Rfam family: 5.8S ribosomal RNA (bases 1-120)
Source: RNAcentral
GAUGAAGAACGUAGUGAAAUGCGAUAAGUAAUGUGAAUUGCAGAAUUCAGUGAAUCAUCGAAUCUUUGAACGCACAUUGCGCCCCUUGGUAUUCCGGGGGGCAUGCCUGUUCGAGCGUCAUUAUAACCCUCAAGCCUAGCUUGGUGUUGGAGCAUGCUACCUAAGCAGCUCUUAAAAUCAGUGGCAGUGCCCUUCGGCUCUAAGCGUAGUAACUUCUCUCGCUAUGGAACCCGGAGGGUACGCGCCAGAACCCCCAACUUUCUAUGGUUGACCUCGGAUCAGGUAGGGAUACCCGCUGAACUUAAGCAUAUCAAUAAGCGGAGGA